UAAGCCGUUGAAGGUGAAUCGUAAGGUUUGCUGGAGGUAUCAGAAGUGCGAAUGCUGACAUGAGUAACGACAAAGGGGGUGAAAAACCUCCUCGCCGGAAGACCAAGGGUUCCUGUCCAACGUUAAUCGGGGCAGGGUGAGUCGACCCCUAAGGUGAGGCCGAAAGGCGUAAUCGAUGGGAAACGGGUUAAUAUUCCCGUACUUCUGACUAUUGCGAUGGGGGGACGGAGAAGGCUAGGUGGGCCAGGCGACGGUUGUCCUGGUUCAAGUGCGUAGGCUUGAGAGUUAGGUAAAUCCGGCUCUCUUUAAGGCUGAGACACGACGUCGAGCUACUACGGUAGUGAAGUCAUUGAUGCCAUGCUUCCAGGAAAAGCCUCUAAGCUUCAGAUAGUCAGGAAUCGUACCCCAAACCGACACAGGUGGUCGGGUAGAGAAUACCAAGGCGCUUGAGAGAACUCGGGUGAAGGAACUAGGCAAAAUGGUACCGUAACUUCGGGAGAAGGUACGCUCUUGAUGGUGAAGUCCCUCGCGGAUGGAGCUGACGAGAGUCGCAGAUACCAGGUGGCUGCAACUGUUUAUUAAAAACACAGCACUGUGCAAAAUCGCAAGAUGACGUAUACGGUGUGACGCCUGCCCGGUGCCGGAAGGUUAAUUGAUGGGGUUAGCGCAAGCGAAGCUCUUGAUCGAAGCCCCGGUAAACGGCGGCCGUAACUAUAACGGUCCUAAGGUAGCGAAAUUCCUUGUCGGGUAAGUUCCGACCUGCACGAAUGGCGUAAUGAUGGCCACGCUGUCUCCACCCGAGACUCAGUGAAAUUGAAAUCGCUGUGAAGAUGCAGUGUACCCGCGGCUAGACGGAAAGACCCCGUGAACCUUUACUACAGCUUGGCACUGAACAUUGAACCUACAUGUGUAGGAUAGGUGGGAGGCUAUGAAGACGUGACGCCAGUUGCGUUGGAGCCGUCCUUGAAAUACCACCCUUGUAUGU
RNAcentral lists this ribosomal RNA (985 nucleotides) under Vibrio cholerae. RNAcentral describes it as "partial 23S ribosomal RNA". It matches the Rfam family "Bacterial large subunit ribosomal RNA", at positions 1243 to 2213 of the family's 2925-position model. Lineage: Bacteria; Pseudomonadati; Pseudomonadota; Gammaproteobacteria; Vibrionales; Vibrionaceae. The record is from RNAcentral.